CCUACGGGGGACUGCAGUAGGGAAUCUUCCACAAUGGGCGAAAGCCUGAUGGAGCAACGCCGCGUGGGUGAAGAAGGUCUUCGGAUCGUAAAACCCUGUUGUUAGAGAAGAAAGUGCGUGAGAGUAACUGUUCACGUUUCGACGGUAUCUAACCAGAAAGCCACGGCUAACUACGUGCCAGCAGCCGCGGUAAUACGUAGGUGGCAAGCGUUAUCCGGAUUUAUUGGGCGUAAAGGGAACGCAGGCGGUCUUUUAAGUCUGAUGUGAAAGCCUUCGGCUUAACCGGAGUAGUGCAUUGGAAACUGGGAGACUGGAGUGCAGAAGAGGAGAGUGGAACUGCAUGUGUAGCGGUGAAAUGCGUAGAUAUAUGGAAGAACACCAGUGGCGAAAGCGGCUCUCUGGUCUGUAACUGACGCUGAGGUUCGAAAGCGUGGGUAGCAAACAGGAUUAGAUACCCGUGUAGUC
Molecule: ribosomal RNA, 465 nt
Filed under: uncultured bacterium
Lineage: Bacteria
Description: partial 16S ribosomal RNA
Rfam family: Bacterial small subunit ribosomal RNA
Source: RNAcentral